AGAUUGAACGCUGGCGGCAUGCCUUACACAUGCAAGUCGAACGGCAGCACGGGAGCAAUCCUGGUGGCGAGUGGCGAACGGGUGAGUAAUAUAUCGGAACGUGCCCAGUCGUGGGGGAUAACGCAGCGAAAGCUGUGCUAAUACCGCAUACGAUCUAUGGAUGAAAGCGGGGGAUCGCAAGACCUCGCGCGAUUGGAGCGGCCGAUAUCAGAUUAGCUAGUUGGUGAGGUAAAGGCUCACCAAGGCGACGAUCUGUAGCUGGUUUGAGAGGACGACCAGCCACACUGGGACUGAGACACGGCCCAGACUCCUACGGGA
This 318-nucleotide ribosomal RNA is filed under the name uncultured soil bacterium. RNAcentral's name for it is "bacterial SSU rRNA". It matches the Rfam family "Bacterial small subunit ribosomal RNA", at positions 26 to 346 of the family's 1533-position model. The record is from RNAcentral.